This 77-nucleotide transfer RNA is filed under the name Verrucomicrobiia bacterium. Its description in RNAcentral is "tRNA-Arg". It matches the Rfam family "tRNA". From Rfam's summary of the family: Transfer RNA (tRNA) molecules are approximately 80 nucleotides in length. Their secondary structure includes four short double-helical elements and three loops (D, anti-codon, and T loops). Further hydrogen bonds mediate the characteristic L-shaped molecular structure. tRNAs have two regions of fundamental functional importance: the anti-codon, which is responsible for specific mRNA codon recognition, and the 3' end, to which the tRNAs corresponding amino acid is attached (by aminoacyl-tRNA synthetases). tRNAs cope with the degeneracy of the genetic code in two manners: having more than one tRNA (with a specific anti-codon) for a particular amino acid; and 'wobble' base-pairing, i.e. permitting non-standard base-pairing at the 3rd anti-codon position. The record is from RNAcentral. Lineage: Bacteria; Pseudomonadati; Verrucomicrobiota; Verrucomicrobiia.
GCGCCCUUAGCUCAACUGGAUAGAGCAUCAGACUUCGGAUCUGAGGGUUAGAGGUUCGAAUCCUCUAGGGCGCGCCA